GACGAACGCUGGCGGCGUGCCUAACACAUGCAAGUCGAACGGGACUUUUGGCUUCGGCCGAAAGUUUAGUGGCGAACGGGUGAGUAACGCGUGAGGAACCUGCCUUUCAGUGGGGGACAACAGUUGGAAACGACUGCUAAUACCGCAUAAUGUAUUUAAGGGGCAUCCCUUGAAUACCAAAGAUUUAUUGCUGAAAGAUGGCCUCGCGUCUGAUUAGCUAGUUGGUGGGGUAAUAGCUCACCAAGGCGACGAUGGGUAGCCGGCCUGGGAGGGUGAACGGCCACACUGGAACUGAGACACGGUCCAG
This 307-nucleotide ribosomal RNA is filed under the name uncultured bacterium. RNAcentral describes it as "bacterial SSU rRNA". It matches the Rfam family "Bacterial small subunit ribosomal RNA", at positions 28 to 334 of the family's 1533-position model. The record is from RNAcentral.